GCAAGUCGAGCGAGAAAGCACCUUCGGGUGUGAGUAAAGCGGCGAACGGGUGAGUAACACGUAAUCAAGCUGCCCUCGAGAUUGGGAUAACAGUGGGAAACUACUGCUAAUACCGGAUGGUGCUAUCGAAUCGCAUGUUUUGAUAGCUAAAGGUUGGGAUCCUGCGGGACCUUCCACUCGAGGAGGUGAUUGCGGCCUAUCAGCUUGUUGGUGAGGUAAUGGCUCACCAAGGCUACGACGGGUAGCGGGCCUGAGAGGGUGGCC
RNAcentral lists this ribosomal RNA (264 nucleotides) under uncultured bacterium. Its description in RNAcentral is "partial 16S ribosomal RNA". It matches the Rfam family "Bacterial small subunit ribosomal RNA", at positions 57 to 305 of the family's 1533-position model. The record is from RNAcentral.